Olea europaea var. sylvestris is the source of this 454-nucleotide long non-coding RNA. RefSeq lists it as uncharacterized. The record is from RefSeq and is a predicted model, not a curated record. Lineage: Eukaryota; Viridiplantae; Streptophyta; Magnoliopsida; Lamiales; Oleaceae. The transcript is spliced from 2 exons.
AAUAUCUCCUAGUAUAUAAAUUAAAUAAAAGGACCCAGAAAGAAGAUUGACCUUGUACAUUUCCUCUCUCCAACACUUUCGUUUUAUAAUUUCAUUGCAAAAUUUGGCAGCCAUCUUUUCGUCGCACCUUCGUCGCCUACCACCACCAGGAAAGAUGGGUUUGAAGAAAAAGAGAAGUAAAUCUUCCUGAAGAUGAAAUGGAGAUAGUACUAAUGGAAGAUAUAAUUGAAGAGUAGAAGCGAUGAGAGAUAAGGAUAAUGGAGAAGAAUUUAAACAAAAGAAAAUUGUCUUCUUUGUAUUGGAUUCCACUUGCCAGCAGAAUUCCUCUACUUUCAAGGCAAUAAUGGAAGAAAAUUAUGUUGGUUUUCAUUUUAUGCCAUAUUUAUGUUAAAAAAAUAUAUCACUUUUUUUGAACUUUUUAAGUUUCUAAACGAGACGUUUAAUUGUUUAAACA